This 403-nucleotide ribosomal RNA is filed under the name uncultured bacterium. Its description in RNAcentral is "bacterial SSU rRNA". It matches the Rfam family "Bacterial small subunit ribosomal RNA", at positions 355 to 775 of the family's 1533-position model. The record is from RNAcentral.
UGAGGAAUAUUGCACAAUGGGCGCAAGCCUGAUGCAGCAACGCCGCGUGCGGGACGACGGCCUUCGGGUUGUAAACCGCUUUUCUGAGGGACGAGCGAGGACGGUACCUUAGGAAUAAGUCUCGGCUAACUACGUGCCAGCAGCCGCGGUAAAACGUAGGAUGCGAGCGUUAUCCGGAUUUACUGGGCGUAAAGCGCGUGUAGGCGGUUCGGUAAGUUGGAUGUGAAAGCUCCCGGCUUAACUGGGAGAGGUCGUUCAAUACUGCCGGGUUGAAGGUGGGAGAAGGAGGGGGGAAUUCGGAGUGUAUGGUGGAAAGCGUAGGUAAUCCGGAGGAAAACAAGUGGGAAAAGCGCCUUCUGGGACAAUUCUGACGCUCAGACGCGAAAGCUAGGGUAGCAAACGG